UUUUGGACUUGCUCUUCAUGUCGGGCUCCCUGCACUUUUGGUGCGGCCAACCGAACAUGGGGCUGUCUCUUCACUCUCCCUCCCGUCAUGGAAUAUGUUGUGGUUGGGAUGCUUGUGAUCGGUUGCCUGUGCAGUUCUACCCUCUUUUGGGUAGUGAAGUAGUCCCUCGAUGAUUUUUGCUUGCCCUUCUGACAUUUUUUGUUGUUUGGGCAGCCGAAAUGUUGGUGAAAUCCUUGUGUUGGUGCACGGUUGAAUGCCUUGUUGCUAUCAUUUGGAUUUUUGCCGGCUCUCACGGAUGCGGUGCCUAGUGCUAGCUCUGUGGGACUUUGCCCCGCAGACUUCGGGAGGUCCCUUGUACGAAUCAUUGCUCUUUAUAUGCCGUUUGUCGUGUCCCUCGUGGCACGCAGAUUGUGUUCUGCCGUGUUGUACAUUUCUAUGACACCCCAGAACGAAGUGUCCGGAGCGUGCUCGCGUGCAAGUGGAAUGCCUCUCGUUUGUAUGAGUAGCGAUUUCCGGUUUGCGUCAUGCGAAGGCCUGCCUGUCCGGGUCGGUGCUGGAGCUGAUGUGCCGGUUCUCGUUUAAGACGUGCUACCUGGUUGAU
RNAcentral lists this unclassified non-coding RNA (601 nucleotides) under Carex prainii. Its description in RNAcentral is "external transcribed spacer 1". The record is from RNAcentral. Lineage: Eukaryota; Viridiplantae; Streptophyta; Magnoliopsida; Poales; Cyperaceae.